This 260-nucleotide unclassified non-coding RNA is filed under the name Hevea brasiliensis (rubber tree). Lineage: Eukaryota; Viridiplantae; Streptophyta; Magnoliopsida; Malpighiales; Euphorbiaceae. The record is from RNAcentral.
CAGGCCUCACAUCAAGCAUGUCCCUGGUGACUUCAGGAGCAAAAACUGGUACAGCAUGAAACUCAACAGGAAUGUUGAAUUUCUCAGAAAUUGCUGCGAGCUUUUUUCCCACUACGGCCAAUCCAUCUCCUCGGGCGUAUUUUGAAACUGGAUCAUCAAUACCUGUAAUACGUACAUAAGGUGCACCGCUUGGCCUGGCCGCAAGAGCUUGAAGAAGAGUCAGCCAUUGAGUCCCUUGUGCAAUUUGGAAGUCUAUAAUG